RNAcentral lists this long non-coding RNA (1178 nucleotides) under Nicotiana benthamiana. Its description in RNAcentral is "long non-coding RNA (NBEN_LNC024599)". Lineage: Eukaryota; Viridiplantae; Streptophyta; Magnoliopsida; Solanales; Solanaceae. The record is from RNAcentral.
CCGCAUAAUUCCUGUAAAACGCUAUUCACCCCCCCUCUAGCAUUGUUCACGGUUCCUAACAAAUCUUCCUAGCCACCCCAAGCAUACAAGUAUGAGGCAAUUCUAUAUUGCCUUCAUCAUUCAUAUCUCCAUUUUUUUCUUUUCCCUCACUAUUAAUUGAACUCAGUCAAGUUAUUUUCCACUGUUUUACUACUCAGUCAUUUUUACUCCGUUUUGAGACUUAAAUGAUAUUUUAAAUGAUAUUUUGGGCUGAGCAAUACUGUUUUACUGAUGCCGAGAGGCUUGUGAGUAUUUUUGACUGAGUAAGGCCAAGGGCCUAAAACUGAGGAAACACUGAUACACUAAUUUGAGGCCGAAGACCUAGAUUUGAUGCCACGAGAUGGCUUGAUAUUACGCUUGGACCGUAAGGGGCCCUUCUUGGAGUAUGUACACCCUCAGUGAGUGGGACUUAUUGUGAUGUGAGAUAUAGCCCGAUGGGAUGAUAUUGUACUAUAUGAUAGCACGAGGGGUUGGUAUUGUUCUAUGUGAUAUCCCGAGGGCUGGUACCGUUCUAUGUGAUUGCCUGAGGGGCUGGUAUUGUUUUGAGAUAUAUCCUGAGGGGCAGAGUUGUUGAAAUUAUGUCCGAGGGGCAAACCUUUAUAUGUUUAUCUUUCAUAUUUACUUGCCAUUUUACCUGUUAAAUAUGGUAUUUAUGCUCGAGGGGAGGAUUUUUGUGCUUACCUGCACUAACUAUUUUUGCAUUCAUUAGCGUAACUGUUGAAAAGCCAUUUUUAAAUAAGUUUAAACUGAGCUAAGAUGUUUUAAGAGAUUUUACAGCUUCGGCGUUUUUUAUUGGUAUUCGAAUUGCUUCUAUACAGUAUUCUGGUACGCUUUACGUGAUUUCUUACUGCUCAGUUGUUAUUUACAUUUGUUACUCACUGAGGUUGAGUACUUACUUUACUCCAUGCACCUUGUGUGUAGAUUCAGGUAUUUCUGAACCCGAUAGUGGGCAUUGGCUGAUCCGAGGUAGGUCGUCUGAGUUUAGCAAGGUAGCUGUCAGCGUUCUCAACACCACUUUUCUCCCUCUUUAUUUAUUAGUCUUGUUUUGUAUACUUCAGACCUUUCAGUUGUAUUUAUACUCUAGUAGAUGCUCGUAACUUGUGACACCCCCGUUAGGGCUGUGUCGGGUUGUACUUCCA